UACGUAGGGGGCAAGCGUUGUCCGGAAUCAUUGGGCGUAAAGAGCGCGUAGGCGGCCCAGUAAGUCCGCUCUGAAAGUCAGGGGCUCAACCCCUGAAUGCGGGUGGAUACUGCUGGGCUAGAGUCCGGAAGAGGCGAGUGGAAUUCCCGGUGUAGCGGUGAAAUGCGCAGAUAUCGGGAAGAACACCCGUGGCGAAGGCGGCUCUCUGGGACGGUACUGACGCUGAGACGCGAAAGCGUGGGGAGCGAACAGG
Molecule: ribosomal RNA, 253 nt
Filed under: uncultured bacterium
Lineage: Bacteria
Description: partial 16S ribosomal RNA
Rfam family: Bacterial small subunit ribosomal RNA
Source: RNAcentral